UAGGGAAUUUUCCACAAUGGGCGAAAGCCUGAUGGAGCAACGCCGCGUGCAGGAUGAAGGCCUUCGGGUUGUAAACUGCUUUUCUUUGUGACGAUUAUGACGGUAGCAGAGGAAUAAGGAUCGGCUAACUCCGUGCCAGCAGCCGCGGUCAUACGGAGGAUCCAAGCGUUAUCCGGAAUUACUGGGCGUAAAGAGUUGCGUAGGUGGCAUAGUAAGCAGAUAGUGAAAGCGUGUGGCUCAACCAUAUAUACAUUAUCUGAACUGCUAAGCUUGAGGACGAGAGAGGUAGAUGGAAUUCCCAGUGUAGGAGUGAAAUCCGUAGAUAUUGGGAGGAACACCGAUGGCGUAGGCAGUCUACUGGCUCGUUCCUGACACUCAGGCACGAAAGCGUGGGUAGCAAACGGGAUUAGAUACCCCCGUAGUCC
This 425-nucleotide ribosomal RNA is filed under the name uncultured bacterium. RNAcentral describes it as "bacterial SSU rRNA". It matches the Rfam family "Bacterial small subunit ribosomal RNA", at positions 355 to 796 of the family's 1533-position model. The record is from RNAcentral.